CUAACCUGUUUGAAUAAAGGAAUCUGACUUGGUCUUUUCCUCUUUAGCAUUAUGGAUUAGGUCUUUCUCUUUACCAUAUUUCGUGGAUGAAGUUUAAGAAGUAAUCAAAAUAUAAAGGUUAAUGCUAACUGCUAAGCUUAUUUCGAAGAUGAAAGAUACUUUUAUCCACUCCCCAAAGAAUAUCAUUACUAUUUAUGUUGUAUUUCUGCUAACUAAUUCUUGCAUAGCAUCUAGUUUGAUAAUUAAAGUAAAGUUUCUGACAUGGAGGUUUUCAAGUUGUAAUAUAUAUUUAUGUUUUAGGUAGAUUCCCAAACUUUGAAGAAACAUUGCAGUACUGAGGUAAAUGAACGUUGUAUGACAGAGCAUCGGGCUUACCGAAGCCAAGGUAUCUUCUUCGAUAACAAGGUUCAUAAUUGCAUUACUUGUGCUACAAGCACUCGUAAACACACCCCUUGUGCUUUGGCUAUUGUUUGAGAUUCUGCACAUUUCAGAUGUUGAGGUACGAGAGACCAAGAUGAUGGGAAGCACUCCCAUUAUCAUUGUAGCUUUCCAAACGCAACAGGUUUACUGUGUACGUGAUGCAAAUGGAUCAAUUAGAGAAGGCGGUAAGAGCAGAAGACAUGCAUCAAAAACCAAGGAGAGAGUAAAGAUCGUGCAAAACUAUAAGCAAGAAGAGGAAAAGGGAGCAUGCGAUCUUUUUAUAUUUUCUCUUCUAUAUGGUACUAUUUAAGAAAAGAUAAAUUCAAGAGAUAAGAAUAUGUAAAACUUUUAUUAUAUAUGUGUGUAUGGCUGCUAUUAUUGUAAAAAUAAAAAUAUGCUUUCAAUUGUUUAACUAACAAAAAUUUCAGCAAGGUUCAACUAAAGUUCCUA
Molecule: long non-coding RNA, 870 nt
Organism: Cucumis sativus (cucumber)
Lineage: Eukaryota; Viridiplantae; Streptophyta; Magnoliopsida; Cucurbitales; Cucurbitaceae
Exons: 5
Source: RefSeq, a predicted model, not a curated record